AUAUCAAUAAGCGGAGGAAAAGAAACCAACAGGGAUUGCCCUAGUAACGGCGAGUGAAGCGGCAACAGCUCAAAUUUGAAAUCUGGCUCCUUUGGGGUCCGAGUUGUAAUUUGCAGAAGAGUCUUCUGGUGUGGCCCCGGUCUAAGUCCCUUGGCACAGGACGUCGUAGAGGGUGAGAACCCCGUAUGUGACCGGUGGCCUAUGCCUCUGUGAAGCUCUUUCAACGAGUCGAGUUGUUUGGGAAUGCAGCUCAAAAUGGGUGGUAUAUUCCAUCUAAAGCUAAAUAUUGGCCAGAGACCGAUAGCGCACAAGUA
This 314-nucleotide ribosomal RNA is filed under the name uncultured Ascomycota. RNAcentral's name for it is "partial large subunit ribosomal RNA". It matches the Rfam family "Eukaryotic large subunit ribosomal RNA", at positions 40 to 350 of the family's 3401-position model. Lineage: Eukaryota; Fungi; Ascomycota. The record is from RNAcentral.